AGAAGGAGGAGCUAAUUGGAAGAGUUGUGGCUGAUAAAAUGCGGGAGACACGGAGGGAGCUCGAACGCCAGUGUGGAGUGGGCGCAAGCGCAAGAGCGUGGGACGAGGAGAAUAAGGAAGUGAGAGUGGGACGCAGGGAGCAAAACCCACAAGCCAUUUUCAGUGGAGGAGACAGACAGACAGACACAAAGGUCUGUGUUCCAGACAGACUCACUGAGGAUCCUGGUUGGUCUGCACUGAUUCCACGUCUUGCUUUCUCAUAAGUCGAUUUCUAUCAAAUUAGGCAACUCACUUCCGUUGACAAAAAAAAAAAAGCAUAGAAAGGCAACUCACUUCCAACCAACAAUAAAAUAUUUUUUCUAUUUGGUUGUUCAACGAUUUAUCUUAUUUCUUAUUUAUUUUUCAAAAUAUGAAACUUGUUUUAACAAGUGAUGAAUUCAUCACAAAUAUUUAUUCUUUCCAUAAGAAUUCGAGAAACGUGUGAUUGACCGAUUAUACUUAUUAUUGUUAUAGCUAAGCUAGUAUAAUACAAUUUUAUAUAAUUUACUAGGGUCGGCCCGCCCUACGGGCGGGAUAUUCUUUACUUGUAAUCAAGAUUAUUAUUUUUAUAUGAUUUGUAGUUUGUGUUUUAGGUUACAUUUUCAAGAAAUGUAUAUGAGAUAUAAUAUUUUCUUAAUUUAAAAUUACCCAAAAAACUAAUUUUUACUAUUAGCAUAAUUUUUCUCUCUCUCUCUCUCUCUCUCUCUCUCUCUCUCUCUCUCUCUCUCUCUCUCUCUCUCUCUCUCUCUCUCUCUCUCUCUCUCUCUCUCUCUCUCUCUCUCUCUCUCUCUCUCUCUCUCUUUCUCAAAAAUACAUAAAUAUAUCAGUUAAAGAGUAUUUUAAAAUGUUUAGCUUACUUAAAAUUUAAGGUGAUAUUAACUUUUAUUGUGUAUGUUUUGUUAUUUUUUUUUUAUAGAUCAUGAUAAUCUUAAUAUUAAAAUGUUCAUGAAUAGAUAAUAGUUUACAUAUUUUCUUUGUUUAUUUUACUGUAAUUAUGAUAAUUUUGAUAAUAAGUAAAAUCAUUUUUAAUACAAAAAUCUUAGAUUAUAUUUUUUCUUAUGAUUUACUUUUAAAAUUUCAUAUAUAUAUAUAUGAAAAUAGUGUUUCAUUUGACAUCAACCUAAAAUAAUAUUUUAGCACAUAAUUAAUAAUAUAAUAUCAAAGACAUAUAUUUGAAACUAAAUACACUUUUUGUGUAUUACUUUUUGGUUUUACCACUAAAGUAUCACCACUCAUAUUUUUACAAUCUAAUUUACGUUUUAAUUUUAAAAAUAAAUACAUUUAUUAUACUCUAAACCAUUACAAAAUCAAAAUCUAAAACAACACUCAUUUAAAUACAGAGAAAGUAAGUACAAUUUAAUGUCAUGAUAUUGUGUUAUGUUUUUUUGAACAAAAUAUUGUGUUACGUAAUAGUAAGAAAAUGUUUGAUAUAUUCUGGUGUUGUUGUUGAAUAGUCAGAGAGUGUGUCGUAAGUUUUUUUUUAAAAUGUAUUUGGCUGAGUUUGCGAAUUUACAUUUGUGAGUGUAAACUUCGUGAACAAAUUCAAGGGAAUCUGUAAACAUGGGUCUCUCAAAAUGUUUUAUCUUUGCCUGAAGUUGAUGAAAGCAAAACUAUGAUUACCUAUAACCCUGGGCAUUCGGUUAUCGCUUCGUUAAAGGAAUGAUUGAGAGUGCUUCAUUUUAUAGUUGAUAUUUACAAAAUAUUUGCUAGUGUUACCAUCACAGGAAAAAUAAAAAAGAAAACAAUAGUUAUCACUACAAAUUUCAAGAGAACCUGGAAAAUGAACAACAAAGAAAAUAAAAAACAGAGUGAGAGUGAACAUCCUUAGCUGAAAGGUGCACUGAAGCAGAAUUAGAGCUCCAGCAUAGACGACAUAAGCCGUGUUCUUUUCCGAGACGCAGCUUCCGCGUCCGGCGACAAGAAAAUAUAAAGGAAAUUAAAGUGACAGGUCAGCAACGAAUUAAAACAAAGAGU
This is a long non-coding RNA of Brassica rapa (field mustard), 2013 nucleotides long. RefSeq lists it as uncharacterized. The record is from RefSeq and is a predicted model, not a curated record. Lineage: Eukaryota; Viridiplantae; Streptophyta; Magnoliopsida; Brassicales; Brassicaceae.